This 253-nucleotide ribosomal RNA is filed under the name uncultured bacterium. Its description in RNAcentral is "partial 16S ribosomal RNA". It matches the Rfam family "Bacterial small subunit ribosomal RNA", at positions 524 to 776 of the family's 1533-position model. The record is from RNAcentral.
UACGGAGGGGGCUAGCGUUGUUCGGAAUUACUGGGCGUAAAGCGCGCGUAGGCGGACCUGCAAGUCGGGGGUGAAAGCCCGAGGCUCAACCUCGGAACUGCCUUCGAUACUGCGGGUCUCGAGUCCGGGAGAGGUGAGUGGAAUUCCUAGUGUAGAGGUGAAAUUCGUAGAUAUUCGCAAGAACACCAGUGGCGAAGGCGGCUCACUGGCCCGGUACUGACGCUGAGGUGCGAAAGCGUGGGGAGCAAACGGG